AUCAGUUUGGUUUGCUUGCAAACCAAAGCUGGCGACCGGCGCACGGGUGAGUAACACGUAUCCAACCUGCCUCAUACUCGGGGAUAGCCUUGCGAAAGUAAGAUUAAUGCCUGGUGUUUUCAGAGUCCCGCAUGAGGCUUUGAACAAAGAUUUAUCGGUAUGAGAUGGCGAUGCGUCCCAUUAGCUUGUUGGCGGGGUAACGGCCCACCAAGGCAUCGAUGGGUAGGGGUUCUGAGAGGAAGGUCCCCACAUUGGAACUGAGACACGGUCCAAACUCC
This 278-nucleotide ribosomal RNA is filed under the name uncultured Prevotellaceae bacterium. RNAcentral's name for it is "partial 16S ribosomal RNA". It matches the Rfam family "Bacterial small subunit ribosomal RNA", at positions 65 to 339 of the family's 1533-position model. The record is from RNAcentral. Lineage: Bacteria; Pseudomonadati; Bacteroidota; Bacteroidia; Bacteroidales; Prevotellaceae.